GGGUCCCUCCGGCCGGUGGCGUGCAGCGUGUGGGAAAACACGCGCCUUUGCUGCGUCCCCUCCCCCAGGACCCGGCUUCCGGAGCGGAGCAGGCCGGUGUAGACCCGAGAACCUCAGGCGAGGAGGAGCGGGUGGCGGGAGCGUGUUGGAGCUUGGGUGACUUGAGGAACGUGGGCGUGUGGAGGCGCGCCUGGCCUGGCACCCGCGGAGGAGGGCGCGUGACUCGAUGAUGGAUUCCUUGGAACGAGAAAGCAGCCCUGAGUACAAACUUCAGUGUUUUGGGGAGGAAUCCUGGAAACGUGACUUUUGUGACUGUACCGUGGCGUCUGGAUACUUAUCGCUCCAUCUCUUGGGGUUGCCGUCGAUUACUUAGCUCGAUGGAGCAUCUGUCCCAAUGACAGAUCAAACUGAUUGCCCCAAAGCUCGUCCUGUGGAACCUGUGAGUUUCUGGAGCUUUACUUACAGAGCGUGGAUGAGGGGUUGCCUACAAAAGUGAGUGAUCCUAAAGUUGGGGGCCUGAAAGCCCUACCCAUCAUGGCUGAUGGCUUCCGCAUAGCCAGUUACUCCAGCACCUCCUAAGAUCGCGUGCAAGUAGGCAGAAAGACAUACAAGUGACUAGGGGGAGAAGCUGGAAGCUCAGGUCCGGUGACCCUUCCCAUCCCCUCGGGGGGGGGGGGGACUGCAGUAGUCUGGCCUCCAGCACGGUGAUCUGAUGGCUGCUUUCUUCCGAGUGCCUCAUUCUACCACACGCUUGACCUCAAUAACCCAGAAGGGCCAGGGCCGAGAGCCGCAGACUUUACUUCCCCCACCUCUUGAGUUUAUGGUCUCAUUCAGCAGGUUUGCUCAGCCACAUGCUUCUUCCGUGGUGUGAUGCCCUGCUAGGGACCUAAGAACAACAUAGUGAGACACGAACUCACAAAAUUGAGGCCAGAAUAAGCAUUUAUGUAUUUGUUUUUGAGACAAGAGUUUUGGUAUGCAGCCCAGGCUGACCUUGAACCCAGGUCAUCCUGCCUCAGUCUCCCAAGCGCUAGGGUUACAGGUGUGCACCACCACACCCAGCGACCUUUCCUCUUCAUUAGCUAUCUCAGGUGUUUGCUGCGGCAAUGGAAGACUGACUAUACACCCUCCUCCUUUCUUGGUUCUUACAAAACCUUUUAUGUGCCUGAAGAGGUCAAAAAACGGGCAUUGGAUCCCCGGGAACUGAAGUUGUGAGCCACUAUGUGGGUGCUGGGAACUGAACCUAGGUUCUCUGCAAGAGCAACAGUGCUCUUACCCAGCAAGCCUUCUCUUCAGCUCCCGUUCUGUUCUGAGGAAGCAGACGUCAUGUGCCUGCAGCCUGGGACAGACAACUCCAGGGGAAGAAAAAGCAGAGGCUCCUUGUGAAUACUGAGUAGGUUGGUGGCAUCUGUCCAGCACCAGUGAGACUGGCACCGGCGGAUUCAGCAUGGAGGUGCGGGGAGAGGGUAAGGUCUCAGGGAGGAAAAGGGGGCGGUCCUCCGAGAUUAGGAUACUGUCUGCCACACCGCACAAGCUUUAGCAUGGUCGUGGUCCUGGGAAGACCUGGGGUCUGUUGUCUGACACUUGUAGUCGUCUUCUUUGUCCCCAGUUUGCUCGUUGGAAGGCACUGCUGAGACCACUGAGGCCCCAGGCAAAGCUUGUGUGGUGUCCUGAGCUGUGCGCCCACGCUAUGCCCUCCCCUCCUUGGCCUUUCGAAUUCUGCAUAGUUGGUUUUCUUCCAUUGUCAGGAGUCUGUUUUUUAGCCUUCAUCAGAAAGGAUAGUCAUCGUUUCUCUAUUUUUUAAUUAGUGUCUUUUAGAUGUAAUCUUGUUUAUUUAUGUGAGAGAGUGUGUGUGUGUGUGUGUAUGUGUGUAUACCUGUAUAUUGCUCACACAGGCCUGAAGAGGGUAUCAGGUAUCCUCUGCUGUCACUUUCUGCCUGUUCUUUUGAGGCAAGGGCCUUGCUUGAGCUUAGGACUGACUCACUGUCUCAGGCUGGAAGCCAGCACACCCCAGAGAUCCUCUUGUUUUCACCCUGGGGAUGGAGUUAGAGGCCUUCGUAGAGAUGCCUGACUGGUUAAGUGAGCGCUGCAUCUGAAUUCUGGUCCUCGUGAUUGCAGAGCAAGUACUCUUAAUGUCCGAGUCAUCUCUCCAGCCCCCGGCUAGUUUUAGGGUCCUUCCCCCCCACUUAUAACGUGUACUUACUUUGUGUGUGUAUGUCUGUGUACACGGGCAUGUGAGCCACAGCACAGAGGACAAUUUAGCAGAAUUGGCUCUCUCCUUCUACCACGUGGGUCCCACGUGGGAUUGAAUUCAGGUUGUUAGUGAGUAUCUUUACCCUCUGAGCCAUCUUGCUGGGGUGCCUGAUUAGUUCUUUGGCACAGGAUCUCACUGGGUUGCUCCAGCAGGGAUGGAACUCACUAUGUAGCUCAGGUUUGCCUUAAACUUGCAAUCCUCACCCUUGUGAGUGCCAAGAUUACAGGCUGUGCCACGGCACCUGAUGUUUGGCUAUCUUUUGACAUUUUAAUUUUUUUAUUAUUACUGUGUGUUCAUGAUAUUCCACAGUAGGAGUAUAGAGGUCAGAGAAUAACUGUAGAGCUGGGUCUCUCUCCCUCCACCUUUUACGUAUGUUCUGGGGAGAAAUCUCCGGUCACCAGGCUUGCCCAGCAAGUGUCCUUAGCCAGCCACCAACCCACUGUGCUCUCUUAACUUCCUUUGCAUUUUCUUAUCCGUUCAGAUCUUGCCACUUCUCUCCUUGGCCAGAUGCAGGGUGUUCAAAUUGCAGCUCCGUCACUUACACCGUGAGUCACUCGGGCUCUGAGUCUAUGCUGUAAAGUCACUUGCCUCCUGUUGGGAGGAGGAGGAAGAAGGUAUGUGGUGGCAUCCAGCAUGUCGCUAUGCCUCCUGAACCCAUGGCUUUCCUGCAGUGCCUUACACUUGCUAGGCAUGUGCUUAUUCUGCCACCAAACUUCCUCCUAGCUUGUCUUGUCAUCAGAUUCGGGUCUCUUGGUCAUCAUUGUUCAUUGCCUAGUUCUGGAAACUCUUUAGGGAAAACACUGAGCUCAUCACUCUCUCCCAGAAUUGGCAGCAGCUGUGCCUCCUCUGCCAGCGUGGACUGUACUCUUGAAGUAUGAGCCUAAGUACCCUUCUGCUCUGGCCUCUAAGUGGACCCCCCCUCCCAUAUACAAGUGACAGCAUUUAAACAACAUGAAAAAUAAAUGAAAAUGAAAUGAAAAGUGUGUGUCUCUGUCCUUGGCUGGGAAAGCUCACGGAGACUGCUCACACUUGCAGUAAGUGUUUGAAUCUACAUCGGCAUAUCUAAAUGAGAUCAACAUGCCCUGAGGAAAUGGUUUUGUUUUUGUUGUUGUUUUGAGACAGGCUCUGAGUGUGUAGCUCUGGCUGUCCUGGAACUCACUAUGUAGACUAGGCUGGCCUCAAACUCACAGAGAUCACCUGCCUCUGCCUCCCAGGUGCUGGGAUUAAAGGUGUUCCACUACACCCGACGAAAAAAGUGUUGUUUUUGACUGGUGAUGUAGCCUACUAUGCACAGGGCCCUGGGCUUAAUCCCUGGUCCACCCCCCCCCAGGGAAAAAAGAGAAAGAGGAAAACAAAAAAGUGGUUUUUUUAAUUUCUAAAAAUAAUAAUAACAAAGUUAAACCACAAAACCUCUAAAAUACAGACUAACAACAGUGGGUCAAUAGUCACUCAGGGUACCUGAGAAAGUUCAGGACCCUCCCUACCUCUUCACGAAGUCCCUCUGACAUGGUAAAUGAAGCAUGCAUUUGACUGACAUUUACAGAUUCUGCAUUAGCAGAGUGGUUUAUUCAAAUUGGCCAGGAGGUCAUUUCACCAGGAGCUGAAAAGGUGUAGGGGAAGAGAAAGAGAUGUUUGAGAGAAGGCAGGCGACUCUAAGGCUUUGGGCUGUGUGAAUAAAGAUGGUUGAGAAGGGUUAAGAAGGAUAAACUUAUGAGGUCUGUGGUGGAAGAAAAGGGUCUUGCACUUCCCUUGUACAAGGAGUAGGAGGUGGAAACCCCAGGUUAAUUUACCCAACCGAUAUUAUGAUGUGGGAGGCAAAUAAAACUUGCACUCCUCCUUAAUUGAGGUUCCCAGUGCGCACACACCAGUCACCGCCCAUCCCUGUGUAUUCAUGUGGGGGCUAAAGGCUGCUCUUGCGGUUUGAUUCUUACAACGGUAAAAUUUCAGUGUGUUCAAAACCAAGCUAUAAUUCGUGAGACCAUUUUUUUGUUGCUUUUUUUUUUUUCUGGCAAUGCCAGGAAUCCAAUCCAGGUCCUUACACACAGACUAAGCAAGUGUUCCACCACUGAGCUGCAUCUCCAGCUGUGGCAUACUUACCUAGAAAACUCGACUGGGGCUGGUCAUGGAGCUCAGUGGUAGAGACCUUAUCUGUCAGAUGUGGGGACCCUGGCUUUGAUGCCUAGAAGUUCACUAUGAGAAAAACGACAGGCAAACAUCAGUAUUUAGUUUUUACUCAAGAAAUGUAAUUUGUUAAAUAAACCAGUUUUGGGAACUAA
Long non-coding RNA from Mesocricetus auratus (golden hamster), 4527 nucleotides. RefSeq lists it as uncharacterized. The record is from RefSeq and is a predicted model, not a curated record. NCBI's taxonomy places the organism in Eukaryota, Metazoa, Chordata, Mammalia, Rodentia, Cricetidae. The transcript is spliced from 2 exons.